AGCUAAACCUGGGUUUGAACCUUGAGCUGGCAACUCCUCUACCCCCAGUUUCUUACAGCUUCCCAGUACAGCGAGAGCAGAAGUAGUGGUUUUGUGGUGGGUCUAGAGGAUUGCAUCUGCUGAGACCCCCUCCUCCUCCUCUGGCUGGCACAGAGCAACAGAAAGAAGUCUAAAAGUCAAGAGACCACUGGCCCAGGAGAAUCCUGCCAUUGCAGAUAGAAGAGGACACAGCCAUGACCACUGAGGACUGCUGAUCAGCACCAGAUGGAGGCCUCUUAGUGGACGUCAGCAUACAUGUCUAAGUGACCUUCUUCCCUACUGACUUGGCUCUAGGUUGGGUGGUGACACACGCUCCUGCCUUAUGGAAGACUUUGCAUCAGCAUGACAAGAAGUGGUGGCUGAUGACCCAAGAUGCUGAGCAGCUUUACUAAUCAUAACUGCAAACUAAAGGCUGUGUGUUUUCUCUAGAAGUGGAGUGAGAGAUUGCCUUGUCUCCUGCCGCUCCCACAGUAUAAUCAAGGCAUCAAGCUAAAUUAAAGGAAAUGCCAUCUUCUGGUGACAGCAGGGUAUCAAGAUCAAAGACAUUCAAGAUAUCACAGGUGCCAGGAAGUUGAUGCCCCAGGAGCUGUUCUCAGUCUAUUAUGAAUGGGAGUUGGUAGGUCAAUAUCAUCCCAGCCUCCGCCUCACCUUGGCGCAGGGAACAAAAGAAUGAUGGCAUGGAAAGACACAAGGAAACUGACAACACUGUGGAACAGCUGCACUAGCCCUGGGCUGCCCCACGCCAGGCUCCUCGUGUUGUAAAGAAAAUAAAGUCUUACUC
This 820-nucleotide long non-coding RNA is filed under the name Callithrix jacchus (white-tufted-ear marmoset). RNAcentral's name for it is "lncRNA (ENSCJAG00000065024.2)". Lineage: Eukaryota; Metazoa; Chordata; Mammalia; Primates; Cebidae. The record is from RNAcentral.